GCCGUAUACAAAUUUACAUAAAGUCCUCAAUUUAGCUAAAGUUCAUAAUCAUAUUGCAAGGACUGGGUAUAUUUACAAAAAAAGACACAAAGCACGCUUUCCAUUUGAAAUGAUCAGACCAGCCAUGCUGGGCAGAAUUUCUCUCUCUUAUAACCCAUUAAGCUGCAAUGCCUCCAAAAUGCGCCCUACUUUAGUAUUUUACUCUGUCUAACCCCAGAUGAAUUUACUCGUCAAGGGGAAAGUUUUGCAUACUAUAACGGGUUAUAAUUUCAAGCAAGAUCUGGGCCAAGUUUUCGCACGUCUGAUAAAAAUGGACCUCAUGUUGAUUUGAUCUAAAUUUUUCCGUCAGACCAAUCGUGGAAGCGAAAGUUUUGUAUUCCAUUUGAUCGAUCUAACCAGUCUGACAAUGUUAUUAGAGAAAUUCAGAUUUGACAAGCGAAACAGUUUUUAUUUGGGGGUGGAGGGUGCAAAAAAUAUUCCGGACCUAACAUACUUUCCUACCUGAUAUUUUUAAUAUUUCCUGAAUUGUUCA
Molecule: non-coding RNA, 532 nt
Organism: Paramuricea clavata
Lineage: Eukaryota; Metazoa; Cnidaria; Anthozoa; Malacalcyonacea; Plexauridae
Source: the annotation of a GenBank genome assembly